UACGGAGGAUGCGAGCGUUAUCCGGAUUUAUUGGGUUUAAAGGGUGCGCAGGCGGCACGGCAAGCCGGCGGUCAAAUCGCGGGGCUCAACCCCGCCCAGCCGUCGGAACUGCCGGGCUAGAGUGGGCGAGAAGUGCGCGGAAUGCGUGGUGUAGCGAUGAAAUGCAUAGAUAUCACGCAGAACUCCGAUUGCGAAGGCGGCGCACCGGCGCCCUACUGACGCUCAGGCACGAAAGCGUGGGUAUCGAACAGG
RNAcentral lists this ribosomal RNA (252 nucleotides) under uncultured bacterium. RNAcentral's name for it is "partial 16S ribosomal RNA". It matches the Rfam family "Bacterial small subunit ribosomal RNA", at positions 524 to 776 of the family's 1533-position model. The record is from RNAcentral.